This 121-nucleotide ribosomal RNA is filed under the name Bacillus subtilis. The record is from RNAcentral. RNAcentral also lists the same sequence under 1 other name. Lineage: Bacteria; Bacillati; Bacillota; Bacilli; Caryophanales; Bacillaceae.
AUUUGUUUGGUGGCGAUAGCGAAGAGGUCACACCCGUUCCCAUACCGAACACGGAAGUUAAGCUCUUCAGCGCCGAUGGUAGUCGGGGGUUUCCCCCUGUGAGAGUAGGACGCCGCCAAGC